Molecule: ribosomal RNA, 1094 nt
Filed under: Vibrio alginolyticus
Lineage: Bacteria; Pseudomonadati; Pseudomonadota; Gammaproteobacteria; Vibrionales; Vibrionaceae
Description: bacterial SSU rRNA
Rfam family: Bacterial small subunit ribosomal RNA
Source: RNAcentral
AUGCAGUCGAGCGGAACGAGUUAUCUGAACCUUCGGGGAACGAUAACGGCGUCGAGCGGCGGACGGGUGAGUAAUGCCUAGGAAAUUGCCCUGAUGUGGGGGAUAACCAUUGGAAACGAUGGCUAAUACCGCAUGAUGCCUACGGGCCAAAGAGGGGGACCUUCGGGCCUCUCGCGUCAGGAUAUGCCUAGGUGGGAUUAGCUAGUUGGUGAGGUAAGGGCUCACCAAGGCGACGAUCCCUAGCUGGUCUGAGAGGAUGAUCAGCCACACUGGAACUGAGACACGGUCCAGACUCCUACGGGAGGCAGCAGUGGGGAAUAUUGCACAAUGGGCGCAAGCCUGAUGCAGCCAUGCCGCGUGUGUGAAGAAGGCCUUCGGGUUGUAAAGCACUUUCAGUCGUGAGGAAGGUGGUGUAGUUAAUAGCUGCAUUAUUUGACGUUAGCGACAGAAGAAGCACCGGCUAACUCCGUGCCAGCAGCCGCGGUAAUACGGAGGGUGCGAGCGUUAAUCGGAAUUACUGGGCGUAAAGCGCAUGCAGGUGGUUUGUUAAGUCAGAUGUGAAAGCCCGGGGCUCAACCUCGGAAUUGCAUUUGAAACUGGCAGACUAGAGUACUGUAGAGGGGGGUAGAAUUUCAGGUGUAGCGGUGAAAUGCGUAGAGAUCUGAAGGAAUACCGGUGGCGAAGGCGGCCCCCUGGACAGAUACUGACACUCAGAUGCGAAAGCGUGGGGAGCAAACAGGAUUAGAUACCCUGGUAGUCCACGCCGUAAACGAUGUCUACUUGGAGGUUGUGGCCUUGAGCCGUGGCUUUCGGAGCUAACGCGUUAAGUAGACCGCCUGGGGAGUACGGUCGCAAGAUUAAAACUCAAAUGAAUUGACGGGGGCCCGCACAAGCGGUGGAGCAUGUGGUUUAAUUCGAUGCAACGCGAAGAACCUUACCUACUCUUGACAUCCAGAGAACUUUCCAGAGAUGGAUUGGUGCCUUUCGGGAACUCUGAAAACAGGUGCUGCCAUGGCUGUCCUUCAGCUCCGUGUUGUGAAAUGUUUGGGUUAAGUUCCCGCAACCAAGCGCAACCCUUUAUCCUUGUUUUGCCA